GAUGAACGCUGGCGGCGUGCCUAAUACAUGCAAGUCGAGCGAACGGACGAUGAGCUUGCUUUUCUGAUGUUAGCGGCGGACGUGUGAGUAACACGUGUAUAACCUACCUAUAAGACUGGGAUCACUUCGGGAAACCGGAUCUAAUACCGUAUAAUAUUUUGCACCGCAUGGUUCAAAGGUGAAAUACGGUCUUUCUGGCACUUAUAGAUGCAUCCCCGCUGCAUUAGCUAGUUGUUAAGGUAACGGCUUACCAAGGCGACGAUGCGUAGACGACGUGCGAGGGUGAUAGGCGACACUGGAGGUGAGCCACGGACAAGACUCCUACGGGAGGCAGCAGUAGGGAAUCGUACGCAAUGGGGGAAAGCAUGACGGAGCGAGGCGGAGCGAGUGAUGAAGGUGUCCGGAUCGUAAAACUCUGUUAUGAGGGAAGAACAGAUGUGUACGGAAAUGUGCAGAUCGUGACGGUACCUAGUAAGAAAGCAACGGCUAACUACGUG
Molecule: ribosomal RNA, 497 nt
Filed under: uncultured bacterium
Lineage: Bacteria
Description: partial 16S ribosomal RNA
Rfam family: Bacterial small subunit ribosomal RNA
Source: RNAcentral